CCUACGGGGGGCAGCAGUGGGGAAUAUUGCACAAUGGGCGCAAGCCUGAUGCAGCCAUGCCGCGUGUGUGAAGAAGGCCUUCGGGUUGUAAAGCACUUUCAGCGGGGAGGAAGGCGUUAAGGUUAAUAACCUUGUCGAUUGACGUUACCCGCAGAAGGAGCACCGGCUAACUCCGUGCCAGCAGCCGCGGUAAUACGGAGGGUGCAAGCGUUAAUCGGAAUUACUGGGCGUAAAGCGCACGCAGGCGGUCUGUCAAGUCGGAUGUGAAAUCCCCGGGCUCAACCUGGGAACUGCAUUCGAAACUGGCAGGCUAGAGUCUUGUAGAGGGGGGUAGAAUUCCAGGUGUAGCGGUGAAAUGCGUAGAGAUCUGGAGGAAUACCGGUGGCGAAGGCGGCCCCCUGGACAAAGACUGACGCUCGGGUGCGAAAGCGUGGGGAGCAAACAGGAUUAGAUACCCGGGUAGUC
RNAcentral lists this ribosomal RNA (465 nucleotides) under uncultured Klebsiella sp. RNAcentral describes it as "bacterial SSU rRNA". It matches the Rfam family "Bacterial small subunit ribosomal RNA", at positions 338 to 795 of the family's 1533-position model. The record is from RNAcentral. Lineage: Bacteria; Pseudomonadati; Pseudomonadota; Gammaproteobacteria; Enterobacterales; Enterobacteriaceae.